RNAcentral lists this long non-coding RNA (810 nucleotides) under Ananas comosus (pineapple). Its description in RNAcentral is "long non-coding RNA (ACOM_LNC027925)". The record is from RNAcentral. Lineage: Eukaryota; Viridiplantae; Streptophyta; Magnoliopsida; Poales; Bromeliaceae.
ACCUCAAUGUGUAACAUACCGAACUUCUAAAGUUAUGAAGUUACGAGGUAUGUUGAUUGGGAAAGCCAUUAGAAUGGUUCCGGUGAAGUUCGGAAGCAUUCGGACGUUUUCGGAGCGCGUAGGUGCGAAAACGAGACCUGAAAGGCUAUGUCGCACCUUGGACUAAAUCUGGCAUUAGCGUGGAUGAAAAGAUGAUGAAAUUACGCUCGAAAACAUGUUUUGAGAGUCUCGGUUCGAUUUGAAAUGAAUCGGAGGUCAAACAAGCAAAAUGAGCGAAAAUGGAGAAGAAAGCUGAAAAUGCUGAAAAAUUGGCUAAGUCCUAAAAGUGCUAAAAUUCUGGACCUACGGUGCCACGCCCCGCGACCGCCCGCCUAUUUGGCCGGGUCGCGGUGCCGUCAACAGACCGCCGAACGGACAGAGUUUUCCCUAUACGUCCUAGACGUCGCAAUCAAAAUAAUGAACGAGUGUUCCAACGAGGAACUGAUAUCAAUCAAGAUUGCAUAAGGAAGUAUCAAUAACAUAAAACUAACUGCUAUUACAAGCAUACAUUUCUUACAACAUUUUACAUCACAGUUUUUCUUUUACAUUCGUUGACUUCCAAAUACAAUCACAUUAUUACAUCUGAUAUACAAGUUNUAAUAUCAAUCAAGAUUGCAUAAGGAAGUAUCAAUAACAUAAAACUAACUGCUAUUACAAGCAUACAUUUCUUACAACAUUUUACAUCACAGUUUUUCUUUUACAUUCGUUGACUUCCAAAUACAAUCACAUUAUUACAUCUGAUAUACAAGUUCGAUACAUCUUGGUUCACUG